Molecule: ribosomal RNA, 241 nt
Filed under: Salmonella enterica subsp. enterica serovar Derby
Lineage: Bacteria; Pseudomonadati; Pseudomonadota; Gammaproteobacteria; Enterobacterales; Enterobacteriaceae
Also listed under: 38 other names
Description: partial 23S ribosomal RNA
Rfam family: Bacterial large subunit ribosomal RNA
Source: RNAcentral
GGUUAAGCGACUAAGCGUACACGGUGGAUGCCCUGGCAGUCAGAGGCGAUGAAGGACGUGCUAAUCUGCGAUAAGCGCCGGUAAGGUGAUAUGAACCGUUAUAACCGGCGAUUUCCGAAUGGGGAAACCCAGUGUGAUUCGUCACACUAUCAUUAACUGAAUCCAUAGGUUAAUGAGGCGAACCGGGGGAACUGAAACAUCUAAGUACCCCGAGGAAAAGAAAUCAACCGAGAUUCCCCCA